AUUCCGUGCAUGCAUUAUUAUGCCACCACGAACCCAACUAUUUUGCCUAACUAUAAUGUACCAAUAAAAAAAAAUAGAGAUUCUCAGAUGAAGUCUCAUAUACAUAAUUACAUACCCAUCUAAUUACGUGUCAUUGGUGAGACGUCCACGGGAAGCAAAAUGACCCACUAAAACUGAAUAUGAAAGUAUGCAUAAAAUAUUUCAGGACAAUCAAAACAAAAGUGAAAUCAGGAUUUAUAUUGUUCAUACCCAAAGAAUGAAAAUAAGAAUGACAUAAUCUUGUCGAUAAAACAGCCAACAUCAAAAUGUAGAAAGCAAAACUAUGCGAAAGGGGAAAAAAAACUACCAUCUGCUCCUCAUUGUGGGAACGGAAGGAGCCUUGGCCUGCCUGGUCUCUGAGUGCAGCCUUGUCCAGGGGCAGGACAAUGGCCUUCCUGCUGGACAGGGAGCCUCUCUGAAUGCCAGCUCUACUCUGAUGUCCCCAGGUUCUGUAACUCAUUCACUGGGAGCCUGAGGCCCCCCGGGUCCUGGGGCGACCUGGCUGCCCUCGUGUGCUGGUCUCUGGGGACUGGUCAGGUGUCUUCUCCGUCUCUUCUGGCUGUACCUGCUGCUCCUGCCCUGACCUGUACCUCGCGAUGCCCUCAGGGAUCUGCUCUCCCCUCAAGUCUUCUAGGUCAAGCCACCAGCUGGGCACCCUUCCCCAGCCAGCCACCCACCCACCCACAGGCCAGUGACUCCCUAGAUCUCAUCCUGGGACGGUUAACUGAUGUGUCGAUGUGACUGGGCCACGGUGGCCUGAUGUAGGGUCAUGCAUUGUUCUGGAUAUUUCUGUGAUGUUUUGGACGAGGCUUACAUUUGGGUCUGUGAACUUUGAGUCCAACAGAUGGCCCUCCGUGGUGGGGUGGCCCUCAUGCUCACAGCUGAAAAAAAAAAGGAACAAUUGUGGAGUCCUGAAGGUUUGGCUUGGGCUGGGAGUGACAGAGAGACUCCACGAGGAUGGACUCUGACCUCCUUCUGUGUGGAGAAACAGCAACCACCCGACAGCUCUCUGCAACAAGAGGAGAAAUCCCAAGGGACCCCAAGGUGGCAGUGACCUACUGCUACAGAGGUUCCUGGGAGCAGCAACCUUACACCUCCAAUCAGCAUGCCCACAGAGCACCUGGGAAUCGGUCCAGCAAAGCACGAAGAACGCUACGGGAUUCCCACGGAUAGAGUUUUCAUCUUCACUUUAUUUUUACUGAGUAAAAAGCACCCUUUUCAAGCAACCUCCCAAGCUGCAUAUUUUAGAAGACAUGGAGCCUAGUUGUGGGAAAAGAA
Molecule: long non-coding RNA, 1317 nt
Filed under: Ictidomys tridecemlineatus (thirteen-lined ground squirrel)
Lineage: Eukaryota; Metazoa; Chordata; Mammalia; Rodentia; Sciuridae
Description: lncRNA (ENSSTOG00000033984.1)
Source: RNAcentral